This 492-nucleotide ribosomal RNA is filed under the name uncultured bacterium. Its description in RNAcentral is "partial 16S ribosomal RNA". It matches the Rfam family "Bacterial small subunit ribosomal RNA", at positions 29 to 507 of the family's 1533-position model. The record is from RNAcentral.
AGUGAACGCUGGCGGUAGGCCUAACACAUGCAAGUCGAACGGCAGCACAGUAAGAGCUUGCUCUUACGGGUGGCGAGUGGCGGACGGGUGAGGAAUACAUCGGAAUCUACUUUUUCGUGGGGGAUAACGUAGGGAAACUUACGCUAAUACCGCAUACGACCUACGGGUGAAAGCAGGGGAUCUUCGGACCUUGCGCGAUUGAAUGAGCCGAUGUCGGAUUAGCUAGUUGGCGGGGUAAAGGCCCACCAGGGCGACGAUCCGUAGCUGGUCUGAGAGGAUGAUCAGCCACACUGGAACUGAGACACGGUCCAGACUCCUACGGGAGGCAGCAGUGGGGAAUAUUGGACAAUGGGCGCAAGCCUGAUCCAGCCAUACCACGUGGGUGAAGAAGGCCUUCGGGUUGUAAAGCCCUUUUGUUGGGAAAGAAAAGCAGCAGGUUAAUACCCCGCUGUUCUGACGGUACCCAAAGAAUAAGCACCGGCUAACUUCGUG